AACGAACGCUGGCGGCAGGCUUAACACAUGCAAGUCGAGCGCAUCCUUCGGGGUGAGCGGCGGACGGGUGAGUAACGCGUGGGAACGUGCCCUCUUCUACGGAAUAGCCUCGGGAAACUGAGAGUAAUGCCGUAUACGCCCGCAAGGGGAAAGAUUUAUCGGAGGAGGAUCGGCCCGCGUUGGAUUAGGUAGUUGGUGGGGUAACGGCCUACCAAGCCGACGAUCCAUAGCUGGUUUGAGAGGAUGAUCAGCCACACUGGGACUGAGACACGGCCCAGACUCCUACGGGAGGCAGCAGUGGGGAAUCUUGGACAAUGGGGGCAACCCUGAUCCAGCCAUGCCGUGUGAUCGAUGAGGGCCUUAGGGUUGUAAAGAUCUUUCAGCUGGGAAGAUAAUGACGGUACCAGCAGAAGAAGCCCCGGCUAACUCCGUG
This 433-nucleotide ribosomal RNA is filed under the name uncultured bacterium. Its description in RNAcentral is "partial 16S ribosomal RNA". It matches the Rfam family "Bacterial small subunit ribosomal RNA", at positions 29 to 507 of the family's 1533-position model. The record is from RNAcentral.